Molecule: small RNA, 453 nt
Filed under: Pan troglodytes (chimpanzee)
Lineage: Eukaryota; Metazoa; Chordata; Mammalia; Primates; Hominidae
Description: processed transcript
Source: RNAcentral
AGUCUGUGGAUGAGACCAGUGGAGAAGGUCCAGAAGUGGAAAUGGAGUCCUGGCAGAAGCGAUACGAUUCGCUCCAAAAGAUUGUGGAGAAGCAGCAGCAGAAGAUGGAUCAGUUGCGCUCACAAGUACAGGUGAGCAGGAAUCCUUGGGACAUGGUGGGCAGAACUUAAUGAUGGAAUCUCUAGAAUUUAGCCAAUAUUUAUUUCGUUCUCUGCCAUGCAGGUUGCCCAGUGUUAGGGAUACAAAAAGAAUGAGACCCAGUCAGUGCUUUUGAGCCUUGCUGAGAGGACACAAAUAUAGUAGGGAGUUUCAGCACAGUACUGUGAGAGCAGUCCCCACAGUAUCCUGGGGGAGUGCAGGAGAGUCAGUGGGAGGAAGGGAGGUAAAAGAGAGGUUUCUGGAGAUCCUGAACCUAGAAGGAUGAGGAGUUAGCCAGGCAAAGAAGAGGAGCUG